CCCAGCAGAUGAAAGGUUAGAGGAAAACACACGUCAGCAGAAUCUAGCCUUCGGUCUCAGCAUGGGAGAGAGGAGAGGAGCCGCGCUGCAAACCUCCCUGAUCCUGUGGCUCCGCUUUGUGCAUACCGCAGAUCACACACUUAUUUGAAGCCUCUCCUAAGGCCUGGCAGACAUACUCCACACUGGGGGAAUGCAGGCACAUAUUUGUUGAGCAGCUGCGGACUUUUGGCAGAGACACAUGCCCUUCCAAGAACAGGCACCUGUGAAAGCCGAGGCCAUCCUGCGGGAGAGCAUCCAUCUUCUUGAACUUGUAAGCACAUUUCUGCACUGCUUUGCUCUUGUUAACGCACUCCUGAACCGAAUGCUUCUGGGGUAACGCCUCCCACACCACCCAGAUGAUCGGGAGCCUGAGUGACUUUUCAGCAGUGACUUGGGUCCUGAGGACAUCACUGGUCUGCUCGAGAGCAGCAUCAACCAUGAGCGCUUUAAUCAUCUUCAGGGAUCUGAUGUGGAAAGCGUUAACUCUGCGUUCACUGGCCUAGAGGUGGUCUCGGGCUCUGGCUCUUCUGGGAGGCAAGCAGGCGCUCGCUGGGGGGGGGCCCCCGCCCCCGCCGGCAGCCAGAGCUGUUUCACGGUGAGUCUGGAGUUUGGCAAUCCAGCAGUAUAAUGCAGGUCUAUGGAGAGCACUGGCCUGUCGCGCCACAAUCUACGGUGUUUGGGAAGGGGCCCUGACUCUGCAGAUUCACUGGGGUUCGUUGGCUAAGGGGAGAGGAAGGCACAGCGAGAUCAGGGAAUUUUCCCACGCCAGGAGCCUGUGAAUUCCAAGUAACCCUUCUUCCAGGCCAGAGCUGUAUGCCCCCAAGCCUCAUCUGUGCCUUAAUUUCAUCUCUCCUCCUAUUUGUCCAACAGCUCAGCUUGAUAGUCUUUAUUUUAUGCUUGUUUAAGUUAAUUUUAUAAUCAGUGGACAGAAGAGGCAUUUUGGCUUGAUGGUCAUUUACAGCUGGGUACGAUUAGGGCAGCUGUAAAUCGUGUCUAGUUAAUG
RNAcentral lists this long non-coding RNA (1042 nucleotides) under Struthio camelus australis. RNAcentral describes it as "lncRNA (ENSSCUG00000001604.1)". The record is from RNAcentral. Lineage: Eukaryota; Metazoa; Chordata; Aves; Struthioniformes; Struthionidae.